AUGUGCCUCCAGGGUGCUGAGACCCCAGCCCUCUCCCCUCUGACCUUCACCAGUCGGAGGGUCACCAUGCUCUUUCCCACUCUACCCUCCCUGUGUGCUCUGCUGCAGUGUGGACUGAGGCUGAAAACUGCAUUUCCCAGGGGCUCUUGUGGUCUAGCUAUGGGACAAGCAAAGGUGCUACAGAAAACGGGGAGACACAAGUGGGAAAGGGGGCUCACGUCCCGCUACAGAUGGCUCCAGUGUCACACUGACAGCAGGGAUAGCUGCACCCCCAGCUCCCAGGUCUGUCUGGCACCUCCUGGUGGGGUGGGCCCUGCACAACUGUCAUAUCCGGGAGCCGUAUGCACGUGGAUGGGGAACCUCUCCAGGGCCAUGCAGACCCUCCUGGCCCCUCCAGCCCUGCGGUCGCCGUGACCUCCUGUCCCCAGCCCUCGUUCCAAUACCCGAACACCCGGCCCUGGUCUUCAACCCUCUCUAACAGAACCGUCUCAUGGCUGAGCGGGCUCUGCUGACUUCACCCCCGUGACUGUCCAUGAGCUCUAAAAACUGGUCCUUCCUAGACAUUAAUUUCUCAGCAGUGACAGCAACAAAGGUACAGAGCCCUCCCAGAUCAGAGGUCAGACUCAGGGAUGCCCUUCGGAGGCCACCUGCAAGGCUCUGAGAGGACUUCUGGGAGCUGAGAACGUCCUUAGCCCCAGACGCAAGAUACAGGAAAUGGCUUCUUCCAGAAACCAAGGAAGCUGGGAGGGGGAGCUGCUCCCUGGGGGCCUUCCGGUGGGGGAGGAGGAGCCCGGCGCAGCCACGUGUGACGCCAGCAGAAGACCUGCCACCCACCACCGUCUGUGUUACAGAUGCAUUACAGGAGUUCAAAGAGUCAUUUCUUACGAGACAGUAGAGAUACAGCUGGGUGCGGCCCGUAACCCCAGCACCUGGAGGCUGAGGCAGAGUUUGAGGCCAGCCUGGGCUACAGAGCCCUGUCUCCUAAAACCAGACUACCUAGAAAAGUGGGAGCCCAAUAUAAUAUAUGGGAAGGGGCAGCGAAUGCAUGAAGCCACCAUAAGAAGUGUUUAGGACAUAAAUUCAGAAAGUAUAAAACUUUACUGAUUCAUAAAAGAGACUUGGAAAAACAAGGAAACGUGCUUUAUCCCGAAGAGGAAAGAUUAAAUGUUUUUAAAUUGUCAAUCUUUAGAAAGGCAUUUAAGCAAAACAAAUGAUUGGCUUUCUCUCCUCCUAGGUUGUCAGCCGGCCCCAAGUGCCAUUCAUCACGAUAGAAAUGCUGGAAGGCUUGGAAACAGCCAGGAACCUCGGGAUGGGCAAGGGUGAAAGGGGCAAAGAUUCUCAUUCGGUGAUCUUUACGACUGGUGAGUGCGGAGAUGAUGUUAUCGUGGGAGUAGAGCAUGCUCUGAUUUCGAUAAAAUGCGAUUUGAUGUUAUGUAUUGGGGAGCCUUUCAUAAAGAGCAUCCCCUAAAUCUGAGUCGUGUGUAGGAAAAUGGCUGCACGUGGAGCCCGUCAUGGGCGGGGCUUUGCUUGGGUCACGUGAUUUCUCUCAUAUGAGAAUCGCAGAAUGAAAGGUAGCUAGUAGGAAACACGGAGCCAGGCCUUUUUUGGAAAGGGCAGGGGACCGAGAGAUGGAGGGAGGGGAGGGAAUCAGGCCCAACUCCGCCACGAACGGGGUCCGCGCGCUGCCUCUGGACUGACACCAACAGGAACUGGAAGAGAGUGUGUCCUCCUCUGUGUGGUUCUCGGCUUCCAGCACACGGCCUAUCCACAGGAAAGCAGCGCGCUCCGAAGAGUCCAGAGGAUGAGGCUCAAGGCAGCGAGCACGCCUUAGAAGUUGACUACUGGGUAAAAUUUCCAACGUCUGUUCCGCUCCAGAUGAUCCGCACUGUGGCUUGGGAGUGUCCCCCGAAGUUCACGUAUGGGAAACUUCAUCCCCAGAUUCCUAUCAAGCGGCACCGGGGGGCUUCGGGGUGCAACUCGGGUGACAUGAGGCCACGAAGACGGCACCCGUGGUGGCAGUGACACUACAUUCUGCUGUCCCUGAAGGUCCCCUGCUCCAGAAGCUGGGCAGAUGCUCUUGGACUUCCGCUCCAGAACUGUAAGCCAAAUAAGCUUCUGCUCCUAACAAAUUACGCUGCCUCGGACUUUGCUAAAGCAACAGAAAAUGGACCCAGAUGUGACCUAAGCCGACACAGCCAUUUCCCUGAGGACGGACUCAAAGACAGACGUGGGUCUGCUGCAAGCGGGAGCUGUGACCCCAGGCACUGGGUGACAGCAGAGAAGGUCCCUGGCCCCUAAAACUUGCAAAGACAGGAAGUGACAGCAGCUCAUCUUUUUCCAGACAUUGCCGUGCCAACUGCCAUGUCUGAGGCCGUGUGACUGCGUGGAGAGGGACGGAGGGUUAGCCUGGUCACCGAAGUUGGCGACAGUGGACAGCUGCAGACCUCAGCCCUCUGCCGGGACCUCGCGUUGCACGGCCUUCUCCCUGGCCUCCUCCAGGCCUCCGCUCCCGGGUCCCGACGAGGAGACCGAGCCAGGCCUCCCUCUGCCUGACUUCUACACCGCCACGCCACUCCCUGUCCCUCUUACCAAUUCUGCCGAUCUGCACAGACGUUGUCUGUGUACCUGACAGUUCGCGGGUCAUGUGUAUCGUUUAGUGAGCAAAGUUUUAAGCUCUUGAAGGCCUGGGAUGUUUAUCAAUGGGUCACGCCCAUCGAUGGAUCACUGGAUGCAGGGCAAGGAUGGAUUUCUUCACAUCCUGUUUUACAAAUUGUCCCAUUGUGCACUGUGCUGCUUUCAAGCAGAAGAAAGGCCAUCAAGGGACAGGGAGUGGACUUGCCAUGGUGGCUCUGGGAAACAAAGCCAGGGACCCAAAUCAGGAGUCAGGGAGGGAGGAGGCCUGUGCCAGGCACAGCUCCGCUCCCCACAAAGCAUAGCUUCCUGCCCAGCAUCCUGCUGGCUUCACCUUCGCCUCCUCCCGACUCUGGCCCCUUCUGCCCUUUCCACACCUGAGUUUCUAAAAACCUCUGGCUUGACUCCUCCCUUGUCCAUCUGAAAGGCAGUGGAAGGUGAGACAGCCCACGGGGAGUACUGACUCACUCCGAAACCUGAACCAGUUCUGACUUCAGAAAAGCUCCUCCACGCUGUGUGACCUUUUGAAAUUUCCUUGCGCCCCCUGGGUUGUCUCUAACGGGGAGCCUCACUGACAAAAUGCAUGGAUUGCAUCAGAUGAUUUCUAAAAUUCUUGCCAAUUCUAAAAGCCUUGGGCUCUGCCCUGCUGAAGACAUCACGGGCGUUGUAUUAGAACGCGUACUGCAAAGCAAGACAUUAGCCCUUUCUUUUCCUGUCCUAAUUCGCUUCAAUUGUUUUUGCUUGGGAAUGGGUGCUAAAUAUGCCUGGGAAAUGUUAUUUGCAGCUACUUUUAUUUCAGUGAUUAACUACUCAAGUAUUUACACUUAAAAUCAAGAUUAUCUUAAGUUUUUAUGCAUUGAGCUUUAGGUUUAACAUAAAUUUAAAAGACUGUGCAUUUUAAACUACAUUUACUAAAUUUAAUACACCCAAUUUUCUCAAAUACUAAAUGCCUAGCAGGACAAAGUAAAAAAUCUAAUAAGAAUCUUUUAAAGAACCCAGCACUUUAAAUCAAAGAAACCGAGCUUAUAAAUGUAUCAACUGGGUUUUAUUAAACCUUUCUAGACUUGAUUCAGUGUAUUGUUCAUUUAAAAUAAAUGUCACAAAUCUGUUUUCUUAAAUGUGUCGAACACCCAAAAUUAACUAACACACAUCUUCAGAGUCGUUCCGAGAUUUAUUCCUAGAGCUGGGCUUCAGAAUUACAAUCUGCAAAAGGCUCCUUUGUUCAUCUGUGGAAAGAGCACGCAGGGAGAGCACGCAGGGCCAGGACUAGUCCAUAACCCCAGGGAGCAGAAGUCCUAAGGGUCUGGAGCCCACCGUCCUGAGAAGCUCAGAGGGAGGUGAUGUGAGGCGUGAAAGGAGCCUUGGAAAUCCCACGGAAGUGACUCGGCAGGCAACCGAGCUGAGUGGGACCAGGAGACAGGAUAUGGGAGAGCCGCGUGUAUUGGGUGCCAUCUUUAAGUAUGUCAGCUUACCAGUCGUACAGUGUAAGGGGAGUCGUUCUGUGAAUGUGUGCUUUAAAUGCCCGCAUACAGGUCUUGGAGGCAGCGCACACGUGUGAACCCAGCGCCCUGGGGUCUGAGACAAGUUUGAAUCCAGCCUGGAUAAUGUAAUGAUUUAGCAAGACCCUGCUACAAAAUAACAAAUAAAAAAGACGGGGAGUGCAGCUCAUUGCAAAAGCCCUGGGUUCAGUCCUCAGUACGC
Molecule: long non-coding RNA, 4332 nt
Filed under: Fukomys damarensis (Damara mole-rat)
Lineage: Eukaryota; Metazoa; Chordata; Mammalia; Rodentia; Bathyergidae
Description: lncRNA (ENSFDAG00000025789.1)
Source: RNAcentral